AGAGUUUGAUCAUGGCUCAGAACGAACGCUGGCGGCGUGCCUAACACAUGCAAGUCGAACGGAAUUAAGGGGCUUGCUCCUUAAUUUAGUGGCGCACGGGUGAGUAACGCGUGGAUAAUCUGCCCUGGUGUCCGGGAUAACAUUUCGAAAGGGGUGCUAAUACCGGAUAAGCCCACGAGGACUUAGGUUCUUGCGGGAAAAGGUGGCCUCUAUUUAUAAGCUACUGUAUCAGGAUGAGUCCGCGUACCAUUAGCUAGUUGGCGGGGUAACGGCCCACCAAGGCGACGAUGGUUAGCUGGUCUGAGAGGAUGAUCAGCCACACUGGAACUGAGACACGGUCCAGACUCCUACGGGAGGCAGCAGUGGGGAAUUUUGCGCAAUGGGGGAAACCCUGACGCAGCAACGCCGCGUGAGUGAUGAAGGCCUUCGGGUCGUAAAGCUCUGUCAGAGGGAAAGAAGUGUAUAGUGGUUAAUACCCAUUAUACUUGACGGUACCCUCAAAGGAAGCACCGGCUAACUCCGUGCCAGCAGCCGCGGUAAUACGGAGGGUGCGAGCGUUGUUCGGAAUUAUUGGGCGUAAAGCGCGUGUAGGCGGUUUUUUAAGUCUGAUGUGAAAGCCCCGGGCUCAACCUGGGAAGUGCAUUGGAAACUGGGAGACUUGAAUACGGGAGAGGGCAGUGGAAUUCCUGGUGUAGGAGUGAAAUCCGUAGAUAUCAGGAGGAACACCGGUGGCGAAGCGGCUGCCUGGACCGAUAUUGACGCUGANNNGGAAAGCGUGGGGAGCAAACAGGAUUAGAUACCCUUGUAGUCC
This 811-nucleotide ribosomal RNA is filed under the name uncultured bacterium. RNAcentral describes it as "bacterial SSU rRNA". It matches the Rfam family "Bacterial small subunit ribosomal RNA", at positions 8 to 796 of the family's 1533-position model. The record is from RNAcentral.